RNAcentral lists this ribosomal RNA (347 nucleotides) under Klebsiella pneumoniae. RNAcentral's name for it is "partial 23S ribosomal RNA". It matches the Rfam family "Bacterial large subunit ribosomal RNA", at positions 2477 to 2823 of the family's 2925-position model. The record is from RNAcentral. Lineage: Bacteria; Pseudomonadati; Pseudomonadota; Gammaproteobacteria; Enterobacterales; Enterobacteriaceae.
ACAGGCUGAUACCGCCCAAGAGUUCAUAUCGACGGCGGUGUUUGGCACCUCGAUGUCGGCUCAUCACAUCCUGGGGCUGAAGUAGGUCCCAAGGGUAUGGCUGUUCGCCAUUUAAAGUGGUACGCGAGCUGGGUUUAGAACGUCGUGAGACAGUUCGGUCCCUAUCUGCCGUGGGCGCUGGAGAAUUGAGGGGGGCUGCUCCUAGUACGAGAGGACCGGAGUGGACGCAUCACUGGUGUUCGGGUUGUCAUGCCAAUGGCACUGCCCGGUAGCUAAAUGCGGAAGAGAUAAGUGCUGAAAGCAUCUAAGCACGAAACUUGCCCCGAGAUGAGUUCUCCCUGAGACUU